Long non-coding RNA from Chelonoidis abingdonii (Abingdon island giant tortoise), 3249 nucleotides. RefSeq lists it as uncharacterized. NCBI's taxonomy places the organism in Eukaryota, Metazoa, Chordata, Testudines, Testudinidae. The record is from RefSeq and is a predicted model, not a curated record.
UUUUCUACUUGUACCAAAAUUCAAAUAUUUUAGGUACUGGAAUUAUUUAAAAGGAAAAUUGUUACCACUCCCAUUAUGGAGUAGAUAGAAAAUGUAUUAAUAUAGCAUUUUAACCAUAGGCCAUUGCACAUAAUACAGUAAAUAAAUACAAAUUUUAUAUCAACACACGCCGUUAUGGAAUAAUAUUUGUGAAAGUGAACAUUUGAGAUAUAGUACAAUAUAGUAUUAUGAUUCUGAAAACCUACCGCAUUCGUCUAAUGAGUUAGAUUAGAAUGUUUCAAGUUUUAGAGUGAAAUCCUGGCCCAGUUGUAAUUAGUAGGGGUUUUUACUUGGAUAGAACCAGGGUUCAUGUUCUUUUUGUACAAUUAGGGUAAGCUAAGUUGCUUGCUUUAAUUUUACUUAGCCAACCAGAGCACAUGGGGUAAAACUGGAAAUACCUGCAUUUUCUUUCUUGUUCUAGCACGGGAUAACCCAAUCAAAUAUUAUAAUUGGAGAUGAAUGUGUGGAUCCAUGUUUUAGCAUUUUACUUGUAAAUCUUAAUGGGGAUGUUUACAGACUAAGUUAGAUAGAUGUUUGUCAUUUUACAGGUGCCUCAAAGAAUUUAUAUAUUACGUUAUGAGGAGUUUUAAAAAUUCUUUUUAUUUUUUUUCCUGGUGUAGGGCAAAUGCAGCAUUUUCUAAAAAAAGACACAAGUACCAAAAACAACCCAAAGCCUUUGAUGUGCAUCACCCAUAUCUACUUAGGGCUGAUGUUGACAAACAUGAGAAUGUGUUCGAUCAAACUUUUGCUUGUGUUCAUGUGUGUGCCAGAUUUAAUAUUAUCCUAUGGCUGGAUUGUACCCUGUAUUGAUCCUUGUAUCCUGAAGUCCUAAAUCAGUCAAGAGCAGUAAUAUGGGGAGAGACUGCCUAAUUUAUAAUUAGUUGAUUGACUAUAUGUUAGAUUUUUUGGUAUGAACAUCUGAGAAGUAAAUAGCUAAAAAAUCAUAUUGAAAAACAGAUUAGCUGUUUCUUAAAGGAUACUUUCUUCUUCGUCAAGGCCUUAAUGUUUACAAUGAAGUUGUGUAGGCCUUAAUGAAUCAAGAUUAAUAUAAGUGUCAAAAUGGUCUAGGGCAAAAUGAUUACUUUCAGCAUAUAUAAUGUUAAUUUCUUAAUCUUUAAAAUGAUGUCUUGCAAGAUAUAAAUUGCAAAUUCUAGUAAUCCCAGAGUAAAUUGUAAUUGUUUGUUAGCUUCUAAGCAGCGUGCACAAUAGGCUUACCAUUUUAAUCAGAAAAUCAUGUGUUUUGUGCCAGAUAAAUUAAGUCCUAAGGUUUCAGCGACCUCAGAUAUUGAUUUGUAGUUUAUUUCAGCCUGUUGAACAAAGGUAAAGGAUUAAGUCUUUGUUCUUGAGGUGACCUUUCUAUCUAAGGGCCUGAUACUGCUUCCACUGAUGUCAGUCGGAAAACUCCCAAUGACUCCCAUGGGAGCUGGAUUGGGGCCCUCAUCUGGUAUCCAUUAAGCCAGCCAUUUGAUAUUGAUUACCCAUUUAAACGUGGUGUUUGCACAUCAACAGCAUCAAUCUGUUCAGCAGUACUUUUCAGGACAUUGUUUUUAAAGUGAGUAAAAGUCUUGCUAAUCAUAUUUUCCUAUUAGACAGUACAACCAGUGUAAAUAAAUCAUGCAUAAACUAUUGAUAAAUGAGCUACUUUUUCUGCUUCUUCUUGGACAGUGUGGCUUGCCUCUGCUUGUCCUUGCUGUGACUUCGUUUGGUUUUUAAUUCAACUGAUCACAUUGAUCGGGGACAAUAGCCAAAUGUAGUGUGUCUUGUAUAGAUUUGAAGAGACAUUAUCCCUUUUUUCAGCUUUGAAAAUUGUGAAUUAAGACUGCUUAAUUCGGGUUUUACGUUUCAUGUAAGUGGUAUCUCAUGGAACCAAAAAAUGUGAGCUGACUUACCUGUACAGCACUCUAUCCCUUUUGAUUUCUUUCUCUUACACAGCCCUAACUUCUGCUGAGCAAUUCAUGUCCCCACUAAUAUUCUUCCUGCAUUUACAUUUUGUUGCUUGCUCUUUCACUAAUUGUUUGUUUGCUCAUAAGUGAUGAGUGAAGGAUUUGAUUUGAUUUGAUUUUUUGCCUGCAUUGUGAUAUUUCAUUGUGCUAUUAAAAUCUCAACUUUCCAAAUCAUUCAGAAAGAACCUUCCAACCAAUCGUAGUACCUUUAACUUAACUAACCUCCACAUAAUGAAAUUAGACAACUGAGCUUCUGUUGUAUUAAUUUGCCUGUCCCAUAAAUACAAUUCAGUAAACUAAAGGAGAAUUCCUUCAAAUAUUUGCAAUAUGCGAACUUUAAGUGUUGGACAAUAAGAGGAGUUCAAUGAUCAGCAGUCAUUACCAGAGUGGGAAUAUGAGGCCUUUUCUUAAUCCAAACUCACUGAGUAGAGUCAUUGGGGCCAGUGAGGCUUCUUACGUGGGAGAUGAUUACAGGGUGAGAUUCAUAGCUUCCUUCUAAUUCUUACAGGUCAUGAUUAUGUGAUGUGCCGAAUGCCAUCCUUGCCCAUUGAAGUCAAUGGGAGAUGGAGGUUGGCCAGCACUUCCAAGGUUGAGCCUAUAGGAAUCAACCUUUGCAGAAAGACUCUGCUUUCUGUCAAUAAUUCUCUUGCAAAAGAUAAAUCUGAAAAGUCUUUCUUCAUUCUUUCUCUCUCAGAUCAUGUGAUUGCAGACAACAAUGCAAAUAUGUCAUUUUAAGUUUUUAUAUAAAUAUUAGAAUUAGUUUUUUAAAAAAGAUAUACUUAUGACUGCCUUCAGAAAAACAGAUUAGAAAAAAGGGAUACUCUCUCUUUAGAAAAGCUUUAUACAUUUUAUUUAAAAAUGGGGAGAAAACCCCAUCUGGAAUUCCCAAGUCAGCUUUAGCUUAUGUUGUGCUUUUUUGUUUUUAUUUUUAUUUUUAUAUACCUGGAAUGCAGUUUAGCUUGGUAUUAAUAAAAUUCUAAAUAUAUGAGCAUAUUGGCAAAAACUGCACAGAUGUAAUGAUAUUCCAAUAGCAAUUGUACUGCACAAGUCAGUGAUUGUAAAGUAUUCCGUAACAAGCAAUGUGUCUCCUAUUUUUUGAUACCUCUUACACUUAUGUCUUUUAGAAAGACAGUGCCUCUGUAUGCUUUUUGUAUUUUUACUGAGUGAUUGUAAAUAUUUGUUAUAUUUUUGGUUAAGAGAAUGUUUAAAAGUACUGUUUAUUAUCCAAUCUACUAAUAUGUUGGAAUCAAUAAACAAUCUACAUACA